UACGUAGGGUGCAAGCGUUAAUCGGAAUUACUGGGCGUAAAGCGUGCGCAGGCGGUUUUGUAAGUCUGACGUGAAAUCCCCGGGCUCAACCUGGGAAUUGCGUUGGAGACUGCAAGGCUAGAAUCUGGCAUAGGGGGGUAGAAUUCCACGUGUAGCAGUGAAAUGCGUAGAGAUGUGGAGGAACACCGAUGGCGAAGGCAGCCCCCUGGGUCAAGAUUGACGCUCAUGCACGAAAGCGUGGGGAGCAAACAGG
Molecule: ribosomal RNA, 253 nt
Filed under: uncultured bacterium
Lineage: Bacteria
Description: partial 16S ribosomal RNA
Rfam family: Bacterial small subunit ribosomal RNA
Source: RNAcentral